Molecule: long non-coding RNA, 551 nt
Organism: Oncorhynchus tshawytscha (Chinook salmon)
Lineage: Eukaryota; Metazoa; Chordata; Actinopteri; Salmoniformes; Salmonidae
Source: Ensembl
CCCGAGACUGAGCCCGAGACUGACCCGGAGACUGAGCCCGGAGACUGAGCCCGAGACUGACCCGGAGACUGAGCCGGCAGCCACUAUGAACUGUAGCUACUGGUCUAGUCGACCAUCUACACUGAUGAAGUAGAUUAGCUGCAGUAAGAUGACACUAACCUGCCGUCAUCGUGUUCUGAUCAGUGACAGGUUAGAUGGGCCUGAGAUGCUGAUAAAGCUCUGUACUUUACAGUUUAACAGGAUGCUGUCGGGACUCGGGAAAGGUUCUCCACACCAUGUCUUCUAUGAACAAAUCAUUCUGUACCCCUUCAAUGCAGUAGAGGGAAUCUCUCUCUCACACACACACACACACACACACACACACACACACACACACACACACGACAAGCAGUUACCAAAAGCAGCAGUUAAAUAGGUUGUUUAUGAAGGUUAGCGUGCCAUGGACUCCAGUUCCUCCACGCUUCUCUAGUUCUCUGUCAUCAGAGCUGUAGUGAACCACUGUUAUUGUCGAGGUCCCUGGAAUGGAGCUCUGCUUUCCCAUCAUCAUAGCG